GAGGGUAUAGCUCAAGUAGUAGAGCACAUGCUUAGCAUGCAUGAGGUCUUGGGUUCAAUCCUCAGUGCCUUCA
RNAcentral lists this transfer RNA (73 nucleotides) under Camelus bactrianus (Bactrian camel). It matches the Rfam family "tRNA". From Rfam's summary of the family: Transfer RNA (tRNA) molecules are approximately 80 nucleotides in length. Their secondary structure includes four short double-helical elements and three loops (D, anti-codon, and T loops). Lineage: Eukaryota; Metazoa; Chordata; Mammalia; Artiodactyla; Camelidae. RNAcentral also lists the same sequence under 2 other names. The record is from Rfam by way of RNAcentral.